Molecule: ribosomal RNA, 207 nt
Filed under: uncultured bacterium
Lineage: Bacteria
Description: partial 16S ribosomal RNA
Rfam family: Bacterial small subunit ribosomal RNA
Source: RNAcentral
CGUGUAGGCGGUUUCGUAUGUCUGACGUGAAAGCCCCGGGCUCACCCCGGGAAGUGCGUUGGAAACUGCGAGACUAGAGUCCCGGAGAGGAAGGUGGAAUUCCAGGUGUAGCGGUGAAAUGCGUAGAUAUCUGGAAGAACACCGGUGGCGAAGGCGGCCUUCUGGACGGUGACUGACGCUGAGACGCGAAAGGCGUGGGGGAGAAAC